This 400-nucleotide long non-coding RNA is filed under the name Brassica rapa (field mustard). Its description in RNAcentral is "long non-coding RNA (BRAP_LNC008625)". The record is from RNAcentral. Lineage: Eukaryota; Viridiplantae; Streptophyta; Magnoliopsida; Brassicales; Brassicaceae.
CGGAAUCAAAGCAAAGAUGGCUCUCAUAAAGGUAGAUAUGAUGCUUGUUGCUUCUUCAUCAAGGACUGGAUCAGGUUCGUCCUCCACAACAAAGAUAGGUUCUGGGACUUCAUCCAAAGAUAUCCAAGUGUCAAGACAUGGGCACUGAUGUGGAAUAUCCAGUGGCUCUUCCUCCAAAAAACUGUUGAGACAAAACAAGGCUACUCGGAUGCUCCGGUUGUAAAACAGUUAGUUCUACAUUAACCUGUUCAUAGCAUUUAUAAACUCAGAUUCAAGAUAUGGAAGAUCACAACUUUCUUCACAAGACAUCAAACUUUCAAUUGGUUCUUCAUCAGCUUCAUCAAAUAUGGGUGAAGAAUCUGAAAAAUCUUUAAUUCUUCAAAACAAUUUUCAGAUUCAC